UACGGAGGAUCCAAGCGUUAUCCGGAUUUAUUGGGUUUAAAGGGUGCGUAGGUGGCUUUGUAAGUCAGUGGUGAAAGUUUUCAGCUUAACUGGAAAAUUGCCAUUGAUACUGCAGGGCUUGAGUACAGAUGAGGUAGGCGGAAUGUGUCAUGUAGCGGUGAAAUGCAUAGAUAUGACUUAGAACACCAAUUGCGAAGGCAGCUUGCUAAACAAAUAUUGACGCUGAGGCACGAAAGCGUGGGGAUCAAACAGG
This 253-nucleotide ribosomal RNA is filed under the name uncultured bacterium. RNAcentral's name for it is "partial 16S ribosomal RNA". It matches the Rfam family "Bacterial small subunit ribosomal RNA", at positions 524 to 776 of the family's 1533-position model. The record is from RNAcentral.